GAAAGAUGUUGUCUUCGUGCUUCGUCGCCAUGUGAUUCCAAUGUCUGGAUUCAAAAUAUUAAACAAUCCUUGCUUUAAAGUUUGAUCCAGUUUGCACAAUUGGAUGAAAAAUAACUUCUGGAUCAAGAAGUGUUUCAUCGGAAUUUAUUUAGAGGGCAAUAUUUUGGAUAAGUUACUGAACUAAAGGAUCCAAAAGGAAUAAAGAUUUGGAAAAAGUGAUUCAACCAAGUUUUGAAAAAUUUGACCAUAAUUUCUCUUCUGAAAAAGUUUAUUUGUAAUUAUGUUGUUAUUUAACUUGUAAUUAGUGUAAAAUAAACCUUUUUGAUGUUUUAACUUCUUUGU
This is a long non-coding RNA of Uloborus diversus, 342 nucleotides long. RefSeq lists it as uncharacterized. The transcript is spliced from 3 exons. The record is from RefSeq and is a predicted model, not a curated record. Lineage: Eukaryota; Metazoa; Arthropoda; Arachnida; Araneae; Uloboridae.